GAGAGAUAGCUGGUUAUUCAAGAAACGGAUAAAGUCCAAUUUUAACUCUCCCUAUAACACCAAAUAUAUAUUUAGAUUUAAAAUUUAUUUAAAUAAGGUACAGCCUAUUUGAAACAGGAUACAACCUACAACAGAGGGUAACGCCUAACUUAAAGUGAUAAAGUAGGCCUAAAAGCAGCCAUCUUUUAAAAAGCGUUAAAGCUUCACCAUAUUCUCUCCUCUAAUCCCGGCCAAAAUCCGAAACCCCUCACUAAUAUUGAAUGACCCCAUAUGAAUAUGGAAAACCUUAUGUUAGAACUAGUAACAAGAAUAACCCAAUUCUCCAUAAACGUAAAUGUAAGCCAGAAUGAACCACUCACUGGCAUUUACCGCCAAUGAAUCCAAAGUAACAACUAUUCAAGAAAACCUUACUCCCCUUAGCGUUAACCUUACACUAGAACUUUCCCGGAAAGAUUAAAAAGGGGGGAAGGAACUCGGCAAAUACUAACCCCGCCUGUUUACCAA
This 504-nucleotide ribosomal RNA is filed under the name Asterophrys turpicola. RNAcentral describes it as "partial 16S ribosomal RNA". The record is from RNAcentral. Lineage: Eukaryota; Metazoa; Chordata; Amphibia; Anura; Microhylidae.